This 464-nucleotide ribosomal RNA is filed under the name uncultured bacterium. RNAcentral describes it as "partial 16S ribosomal RNA". It matches the Rfam family "Bacterial small subunit ribosomal RNA", at positions 338 to 795 of the family's 1533-position model. The record is from RNAcentral.
CCUACGGGGGGCAGCAGUGGGGAAUAUUGCGCAAUGGGCGAAAGCCUGACGCAGCGACGCCGCGUGAGGGAUGAAGGUCUUCGGAUCGUAAACCUCUGUCAGCAGGGAAGAAAGGUCACUGUGCUAAUCAGCAGUGAAUUGACGGUACCUGCAAAGAAAGGACAGGCUAACUCCGUGCAAGCAGCCGCGGUAAUACGGAGGGUGCGGGCGUUAAUCGGAAUUACUGGCGUAAAGCGCUCGUAGGCGGUAUGUGAAGUCAAGGGUGAAAUCCCCGCGCUCAACGUGUGAACUGCCUUUCAAACUGGCAAACUGGAUUGUGUGAGAGGAUAGUGGAAUUCCAGGUGUAGGAGUGAAAUCCGUAGAUAUCUCGAGGAACAUCAGUGGCGAAGGCGACUAUCUGGCACAUAACUGACGCUGAGGAGCGAAAGCGUGGGUAGCAAACAGGAUUAGAUACCCCUGUAGUC